RNAcentral lists this transfer RNA (67 nucleotides) under Aegithalos concinnus talifuensis. Its description in RNAcentral is "tRNA-Cys". The record is from RNAcentral. Lineage: Eukaryota; Metazoa; Chordata; Aves; Passeriformes; Aegithalidae.
GACCUUGUAGUGAAGUUCAUGGUGAGUUGCAAGCUCAUCGAUGUGCGUGAAUAGCGUGCCGGGGUCU